RNAcentral lists this ribosomal RNA (104 nucleotides) under Salvator merianae (Argentine black and white tegu). Lineage: Eukaryota; Metazoa; Chordata; Lepidosauria; Squamata; Teiidae. The record is from RNAcentral.
AUUUAAGCUGCCCCUUUAGAUUUCAUGUGAUCUCAAAAGAUAAGGAGGAUUGGGCCUGGCUAGUACUUAGAUGGACUAUCUAGGAAUACAAGGUGCUUUAAAUU